CGAUCACUGGCGCGGCAAUGCGACGCCGCCCGACGAGUGGCGCGACGUGAUGUUCCGCAUCCGCGGCCCCGCGGUCGCGCCGCUGCUGUCCGGC
Molecule: transfer RNA, 94 nt
Filed under: Luteitalea pratensis
Lineage: Bacteria; Pseudomonadati; Acidobacteriota; Vicinamibacteria; Vicinamibacterales; Vicinamibacteraceae
Description: tRNA-Val
Source: RNAcentral